CCCCGCCUUUACUCUUUGCCAACUGGACUUAUGUCUUUAUUAGUCAUUCAAGUGGGGCAAAGGAAAUAUCCUUUUGUAACUCAGGCAAACUGUCAUGUAACCUGUUGAGGAAACAAAU
Small nucleolar RNA from Sciurus vulgaris (Eurasian red squirrel), 118 nucleotides. NCBI's taxonomy places the organism in Eukaryota, Metazoa, Chordata, Mammalia, Rodentia, Sciuridae. The record is from Ensembl.